RNAcentral lists this ribosomal RNA (734 nucleotides) under Escherichia albertii. Its description in RNAcentral is "partial 23S ribosomal RNA". It matches the Rfam family "Bacterial large subunit ribosomal RNA", at positions 2202 to 2925 of the family's 2925-position model. Lineage: Bacteria; Pseudomonadati; Pseudomonadota; Gammaproteobacteria; Enterobacterales; Enterobacteriaceae. The record is from RNAcentral.
ACCCUUUAAUGGCUGGUGUUCUAACGUUGGCCCCUUACCGGGGUUGCGGACAGUGUCUGGUGGGUAGUUUGACUGGGGCGGUCUCCUCCUAAAGAGUAACGGAGGAGCACGAAGGUUGGCUAAUCCUGGUCGGACAUCAGGAGGUUAGUGCAAUGGCAUAAGCCAGCUUGACUGCGAGCGUGACGGCGCGAGCAGGUGCGAAAGCAGGUCAUAGUGAUCCGGUGGUUCUGAAUGGAAGGGCCAUCGCUCAACGGAUAAAAGGUACUCCGGGGAUAACAGGCUGAUACCGCCCAAGAGUUCAUAUCGACGGCGGUGUUUGGCACCUCGAUGUCGGCUCAUCACAUCCUGGGGCUGAAGUAGGUCCCAAGGGUAUGGCUGUUCGCCAUUUAAAGUGGUACGCGAGCUGGGUUUAGAACGUCGUGAGACAGUUCGGUCCCUAUCUGCCGUGGGCGCUGGAGAACUGAGGGGGGCUGCUCCUAGUACGAGAGGACCGGAGUGGACGCAUCACUGGUGUUCGGGUUGUCAUGCCAAUGGCACUGCCCGGUAGCUAAAUGCGGAAGAGAUAAGUGCUGAAAGCAUCUAAGCACGAAACUUGCCCCGAGAUGAGUUCUCCCUGAGACCUGGAGUCUCCUGAAGGAACGUUGAAGACGACGACGUUGAUAGGCCGGGUGUGUAAGCGCAGCGAUGCGUUGAGCUAACCGGUACUAAUGAACCGUGAGGCUUAACCUUACAAC